RNAcentral lists this ribosomal RNA (601 nucleotides) under uncultured Bacteroidales bacterium. RNAcentral's name for it is "bacterial SSU rRNA". It matches the Rfam family "Bacterial small subunit ribosomal RNA", at positions 105 to 705 of the family's 1533-position model. Lineage: Bacteria; Pseudomonadati; Bacteroidota; Bacteroidia; Bacteroidales. The record is from RNAcentral.
GGUGAGUAACACGUAUCCAACCUGCCCUUUACUCGGGGAUAGCCUUUCGAAAGAAAGAUUAAUACCCGAUAGCAUAAUGAUUCCGCAUGGUUUCAUUAUUAAAGGAUUCCGGUAAAGGAUGGGGAUGCGUUCCAUUAGAUAGUAGGCGGGGUAACGGCCCACCUAGUCAACGAUGGAUAGGGGUUCUGAGAGGAAGGUCCCCCACAUUGGAACUGAGACACGGUCCAAACUCCUACGGGAGGCAGCAGUGAGGAAUAUUGGUCAAUGGGCGAUAGCCUGAACCAGCCAAGUAGCGUGAAGGAUGACUGCCCUAUGGGUUGUAAACUUCUUUUAUAAAGGAAUAAAGUCGGGUAUGCAUACCCGUUUGCAUGUACUUUAUGAAUAAGGAUCGGCUAACUCCGUGCCAGCAGCCGCGGUAAUACGGAGGAUCCGAGCGUUAUCCGGAUUUAUUGGGUUUAAAGGGAGCGUAGAUGGAUGUUUAAGUCAGUUGUGAAAGUUUGCGGCUCAACCGUAAAAUUGCAGUUGAUACUGGAUGUCUUGAGUGCAGUUGAGGCAGGCGGAAUUCGUGGUGUAGCGGUGAAAUGCUUAGAUAUCACGAAGA